RNAcentral lists this ribosomal RNA (426 nucleotides) under uncultured bacterium. Its description in RNAcentral is "partial 16S ribosomal RNA". It matches the Rfam family "Bacterial small subunit ribosomal RNA", at positions 354 to 796 of the family's 1533-position model. The record is from RNAcentral.
GUGAGGAAUUUUCCGCAAUGGGCGAAAGCCUGACGGAGCAAUGCCGCGUGAAGGAUGAAGGCCUAUGGGUUGUAAACUUCUUUUCUCAGAAAAGAAUUAUGACGGUAUCUGAGGAAUAAGCAUCGGCUAACUCUGUGCCAGCAGCCGCGGUAAGACAGAGGAUGCAAGCGUUAUCCGGAAUGAUUGGGCGUAAAGCGUCUGUAGGUUGUUUAAAAAGUAUUCUGUCAAAGAUUAGGGCUUAACCCUAGAUAGGCAGAAUAAACUUUUAAGCUAGAGUUUGGUAGAGGCAGAGGGAAUUCCCGGUGGAGCGGUGAAAUGCGUAGAUAUCGGGAGGAGCACCAAAGGCGAAGGCACUCUGCUGGGCCAAUACUAACACUGAGAGACGAAAGCGAGGGGAGCAAAUGGGAUUAGAAACCCUUGUAGUCC